GGCAGUUUACAUCACAUCAUGAAGUAUAACUUGGCAUCUAGAAGUCAGAGGGAACAACGUUCAAAUCCUAAGUCCUCUACUUAUGAGCUGUGUGACACUGGAUGACUUCACUAACAUCUCUCUACUUCAGUUUUACCGUAGAAAAAAUGGGAGCUAUAACAGUACCUACCUGAAAAGGCUGUGGAGAAGAUGAAAUGACAAAGUGAGUGUAAAGUGGCUGGGGUAGCACCUGGCAGAGUAAGAAAGCUGCUACAAAUAGUUGUGGAAUUACUACCUACAUUGACUUUUUUCAGAACUUCCAGGAACUAAUCUUGAAACAGACCAAGCACAGAGAGCCAGCUACAGAAGUCCAGAGAUUACCUCAAGGCAGUUAGUCAACAACCCAGCCAUUGUUCAGAUGACAGCAUCCUACACUCCAGGUGGACCAUGGCUCGAGAUAACCACCAGAACAAGACACUCCCACCUUGUACUCAGCAGCCUGCCUGCCUGCCUCCCAUUGCAAGUUCCCCUUUUUAAGCUCUCCUCCCCAGCCUAAAGUGUGAAGUGGUUGCUUUGGAAGAGAAUCUGGCCGUUUCUCGAUUACUAGUGUUGGUUAAUAAAGUCACUUUCUUUCUACUACACCUCACUGUUGUCACUGGACUCUGUAAGUGGUAGCAGCUAUGUACCAGGACUGAGGGAAAAAAUAGGAAGAGGAAAAUUUACCAUAAACUAGAAGCUUGGUGCCCUGAAACCUGGUACUUAGACCACAGAUGAGCCUGCUCAAUUACUGCCGCUGCCUCUGAGGAGCCCUGAUGACACUGAUGCUGAGAUACUGAUGGAAGCUGGUGGCUGGGUCCAUGGCUGCUGCUAAAGUGAUACUGAUGGUGCCUGGAAAACAGAAAAUGUACGGAUAUGUGAACCCUUUCCAGUCUUCUCUUACGGUUUUAGACAACACAGUUCAUCCGAGUCUUUCCCCAAAGGAAUAUCAGAAAACUGAAGAAGUGAAACGCCUUACUCAAGGUCACAAAGAGGGGUAGUGCAGAACAAAGAACAAAUCUUGACGUCCUAUUUCUUAGUCUAAAACAAUCUUGUCAUUGCCCCACCUAUAGCACAUUUCUUGGACUAUUUAAAAGACACUAUUUUAUAAUUUAAAAGUAAAUUUUAUUUCUUUAACAAUGAAAAAUCACUUAAAGUCCACGUUGGGAAACAAGGCUGAUUUUUAGAAAAAAAAAAAACUUCUCUAGCUAUAAAAAUAUAGGAAUAACUUUUUCCUCAUCUUAUUUUGAAAGCAGUUCCAACAUGUGUAGACCCAAGAGAAGAAAAAAAAUAUAUACACACACACACACACACAUAUGUUAAUAUAGACACACAAAUGUAUACAUACACAUAUAUAAAACAUUCAUAAAUAUGACAUUCACUUGGGUGACUAUAUUUGCAUUUUAAAUGUUUUUAUUUAUACAUUUUUAUUGAUACAUAUAUUAGUGGUACAUAUUUUGGGAGUACAGGUGAUAUUUUGAUACUUAUAGACAGUGUGAAAUAAUCAGACUAGGGUGGUUGGGAUAUCCAUUGCCUCAAACAUAUGUCUUUUCUUUGUGUUGAAAACAUUACAAUUCUUAUUUUCCAGUUAUUUUGAGAUAUAAAAGCAAUUAUUAACUAUAACUAUCCCACUGUACUAUCAAAUACCAGAACUCAUUCCUUUCAUCUAACUAUAUUUCUGUCCCUCCUAACCAACUUCUCUUUAUCCCCUCUCCACUCUUCCCUUCUCAGACUCUGAUAACCACCAUUCCACUCUCUAUCUUCCUAAGAUCCACUUUUUUAGCUCCUACAUGUGAGUGAGAACAUGUGACAUUUGUCUGUCUGUUCCUGGUUUAUUUCACUUAGUGACCUCCAGUUUCAUCCACGUUGCUGCAAAGACAAUAUUUCAUCCCUUUUUAUGGGUGAAUAAUAUUCCACUGUGUAUAUAUACCACAUUUUCUUUAUUCAUUCAUUCAUUGGUGAACAAUUAGGUUGAUUCCAUAUCUUUGCUACUGUGAAUAGUACUACAAUAAACAUGACAGUGCAGAUAUCACUUUGAUAUACUGAUUUCCUUUUUGCGGGGGAUAUGUGUGACAUUUCUGGAUUAUGUGGUAGUUCUGGUUUUUAGUUUUGUAAGGAACCUCCACACUGUUUUCCAUAAUGGCUGCACUACUUUACCACCAACGGUGUCCACUCAUUCCCCUUUCUUCAUAUCCUUACAAGCACUUGUUAUUUUUUGUCUUUUCAAUAACAGUCAUUCUAACUGGGGUGCGAUGAUACUUCAUGGUGAUUUUGAUUUGCAUUUUCCUGAUGAUUAGUGAUAUUCAGCUUUUUUAUUAUUUAUUUAUUUAUUUAUUACAAAACGCUAGCAAAAGGUCUUCCUUUUAUGAUAUAUAUGUGUGUGUGCAUAUGCACAACAUGCACACACACACAUACACACCACUUAUACAUGCCACAGGCUAAUAUCCUGUUGGCCAUUUGGAUAUCAUUUUUGAGAAAUGUCUAUUCAAGUCUUUUGCCCAUUUUUAAAUUAGAUUAUUUGUUUUUGGCUAAUCAGUUUGAGUUUUUAUGUAUUCUUGUUAUUAAUCCCUUGUUGGAUGGAUAGUUUGCAAAUAUUUUCUCCCAUUCUCUGAGUUGUCUCUUCACUUUGUUGACUGUUUCCUUUAUUGUGAAGAAGCUUUUUAGCUUGAUGCAAUCCCAUUUCUCUAAUUUUGUUUUGUUGCCUCUGCUUUUGAGGUCUUACUCCCAAAAAUCUUUGCCCAGACUAUUGCCCUGGAGCAUUUCCCCAAUGUUUUCUUUACAUUUAAGUCUCAUCCAUUUUGAGUUGAUUUUUAUAUAUAGUGAAAAAUGAGAAUCUAGUUUCAUUCUUCUGCAUAUGGAUAUCCAGUUUUCCCAGAAUCAUUUAUUAAGAGUUUGCUCUUUUUCUCUAAUGUAUUUUCUUGGUGCCUUUGCCAAAAAUGAGUUGAAUGUAAGUGCAUAGAUUUCUUCCUAGGUUUUACAUUCUGUUUCAUUGGUCUAUUUGUCUAUUUAUACGCCAGUGUCAUGCUGCUUUGGUUGCUACAGCUUUGUAGUAUAAUUUGAAAUAAGUUAGUGUGAUGCCUCCAGCUUUGUUCUUUUUGCUUUAUCUAUUUUGGGUCUUUUGUGGUUCCAUGUGAAUUUUAGGAUUGUUUUUAUUAUUUCUAUGAAGAAUAUCAUCUGUAUUUUGGUAGUGAUUGCAUUGAAUCUGUAGAUUGCUUUGGGUAUUACAGAUAUUUUAACAAUAUUAAUUUUUUCC
RNAcentral lists this long non-coding RNA (3268 nucleotides) under Homo sapiens (human). RNAcentral's name for it is "HSALNT0127281". Lineage: Eukaryota; Metazoa; Chordata; Mammalia; Primates; Hominidae. The record is from RNAcentral.